AGCUUUGCGCAGUGGCAGUAUCGUAGCCAAUGAGGUUUAUCCGAGGUGCGAUUAUUGCUAAUUAAAAAAGCACAAAGAAAAAGUUACAUAAUGGAAGAUCAGGUCGACUUUUUUCUUAGAAAAUUAUUUAAACUCAUCCGUAA
Lutra lutra (Eurasian river otter) is the source of this 143-nucleotide small nuclear RNA. RefSeq annotates it as U4 spliceosomal RNA. The record is from RefSeq and is a predicted model, not a curated record. NCBI's taxonomy places the organism in Eukaryota, Metazoa, Chordata, Mammalia, Carnivora, Mustelidae. The transcript has a single exon.